RNAcentral lists this ribosomal RNA (433 nucleotides) under uncultured bacterium. Its description in RNAcentral is "partial 16S ribosomal RNA". It matches the Rfam family "Bacterial small subunit ribosomal RNA", at positions 29 to 507 of the family's 1533-position model. The record is from RNAcentral.
AACGAACGCUGGCGGCAUGCCUAACACAUGCAAGUCGAACGAGACCUUCGGGUCUAGUGGCGCACGGGUGCGUAACGCGUGGGAACCUGCCCUUAGGUUCGGAAUAACUCCCCGAAAGGGGUGCUAAUACCGGAUAAUGUCUUCGGACCAAAGAUUUAUCGCCUUUGGAUGGGCCCGCGUUGGAUUAGCUAGUUGGUAGGGUAAAAGCCUACCAAGGCUACGAUCCAUAGCUGGUCUGAGAGGAUGAUCAGCCACACUGGGACUGAGACACGGCCCAGACUCCUACGGGAGGCAGCAGUGGGGAAUAUAGGACAAUGGGCGAAAGCCUGAUCCAGCAAUGCCGGGUGAGUGAUGAAGGCCUUAGGGUUGUAAAGCUCUUUUACCCGGGAUAAUAAUGACAGUACCGGGAGAAUAAGCACCGGCUAACUCCGUG